AAUCAACGCUGGCGGCGUGCCUCAGACAUGCAAGUCGAACGAUUAAAGCUCUCUUCGGAGAGUGCAUAAAGUGGCGCACGGGUGAGUAACACGUAAGUAAUCUACCUUCGAGUGGGAAUAACGUCCGGAAACGGACGCUAAUACCGCAUAACGCAGCGGCAUCGCAAGAUGACAGUUGUUAAAGAUUUAUCGCUUGAAGAGGAGCUUGCGGCAGAUUAGCUUGUUGGUAAGGUAACGGCUUACCAAGGCUACGAUCUGUAUCCGGUCUAAGAGGACGGUCGGACACACUGACACUGAAUAACGGGUCAGACUCCUACGGGAGGCAGCAGUCGGGAAUUUUGGGC
This 344-nucleotide ribosomal RNA is filed under the name uncultured bacterium. Its description in RNAcentral is "bacterial SSU rRNA". It matches the Rfam family "Bacterial small subunit ribosomal RNA", at positions 32 to 369 of the family's 1533-position model. The record is from RNAcentral.